CUGUGUGUUGUUGGGUAGGGGAGCGUUCUGUAAGCCUGUGAAGGUGUGUCGUGAGGCAUGCUGGAGGUAUCAGAAGUGCGAAUGCUGACAUAAGUAACGAUAAAGCGGGUGAAAAGCCCGCUCGCCGGAAGACCAAGGGUUCCUGUCCAACGUUAAUCGGGGCAGGGUGAGUCGACCCCUAAGGCGAGGCCGAAAGGCGUAGUCGAUGGGAAACGGGUUAAUAUUCCCGUACUUGGUGUUACUGCGAAGGGGGGACGGAGAAGGCUAUGUUGGCCGGGCGACGGUUGUCCCGGUUUAAGCGUGUAGGCUGGUUUUCCAGGCAAAUCCGGAAAAUCAAGGCUGAGGCGUGAUGACGAGGCACUACGGUGCUGAAGCAACAAAUGCCCUGCUUCCAGGAAAAGCCUCUAAGCAUCAGGUAACAUCAAAUCGUACCCCAAACCGACACAGGUGGUCAGGUAGAGAAUACCAAGGCGCUUGAGAGAACUCGGGUGAAGGAACUAGGCAAAAUGGUGCCGUAACUUCGGGAGAAGGCACGCUGACACGUAGGUGAAGUGAUUUACUCAUGGAGCUGAAGUCAGUCGAAGAUACCAGCUGGCUGCAACUGUUUAUUAAAAACACAGCACUGUGCAAACACGAAAGUGGACGUAUACGGUGUGACGCCUGCCCGGUGCCGGAAGGUUAAUUGAUGGGGUCAGCGCAAGCGAAGCUCCUGAUCGAAGCCCCGGUAAACGGCGGCCGUAACUAUAACGGUCCUAAGGUAGCGAAAUUCCUUGUCGGGUAAGUUCCGACCUGCACGAAUGGCGUAAUGAUGGCCAGGCUGUCUCCACCCGAGACUCAGUGAAAUUGAACUCGCUGUGAAGAUGCAGUGUACCCGCGGCAAGACGGAAAGACCCCGUGAACCUUUACUAUAGCUUGACACUGAACAUUGAGCCUUGAUGUGUAGGAUAGGUGGGAGGCUUUGAAGUGUGGACGCCAGUCUGCAUGGAGCCGACCUUGAAAUACCACCCUUUAAUGUUUGAUGUUCUAACGUGGACCCGUUACCCGGGUUGCGGACAGUGUCUGGUGGGUAGUUUGACUGGGGCGGUCUCCUCCUAAAGAGUAACGGAGGAGCACGAAGGUUGGCUAAUCCUGGUCGGACAUCAGGAGGUUAGUGCAAUGGCAUAAGCCAGCUUGACUGCGAGCGUGACGGCGCGAGCAGGUGCGAAAGCAGGUCAUAGUGAUCCGGUGGUUCUGAAUGGAAGGGCCAUCGCUCAACGGAUAAAAGGUACUCCGGGGAUAACAGGCUGAUACCGCCCAAGAGUUCAUAUCGACGGCGGUGUUUGGCACCUCGAUGUCGGCUCAUCACAUCCUGGGGCUGAAGUAGGUCCCAAGGGUAUGGCUGUUCGCCAUUUAAAGUGGUACGCGAGCUGGGUUUAGAACGUCGUGAGACAGUUCGGUCCCUAUCUGCCGUGGGCGCUGGAGAACUGAGGGGGGCUGCUCCUAGUACGAGAGGACCGGAGUGGACGCAUCACUGGUGUUCGGGUUGUCAUGCCAAUGGCACUGCCCGGUAGCUAAAUGCGGAAGAGAUAAGUGCUGAAAGCAUCUAAGCACGAAACUUGCCCCGAGAUGAGUUCUCCCUGAGACUUAGAGUCUCCUGAAGGAACGUUGAAGACGACGACGUUGAUAGGCCGGGUGUGUAAGCGCAGCGAUGCGUUGAGCUAACCGGUACUAAUGAACCGUGAGGCUUAACCUUACAACGCCGAAG
Molecule: ribosomal RNA, 1744 nt
Filed under: Salmonella enterica subsp. enterica serovar Enteritidis
Lineage: Bacteria; Pseudomonadati; Pseudomonadota; Gammaproteobacteria; Enterobacterales; Enterobacteriaceae
Description: partial 23S ribosomal RNA
Rfam family: Bacterial large subunit ribosomal RNA
Source: RNAcentral